UACAGAGGGGGCAAGCGUUGUUCGGAAUUACUGGGCGUAAAGGGCGCGUAGGCGGCCUGCUAAGUCGGACGUGAAAUCCCUGGGCUCAACCCAGGAACUGCGUCCGAUACUGGUUGGCUUGAAUCCGGGAGAGGGACGUGGAAUUCCAGGUGUAGCGGUGAAAUGCGUAGAUAUCUGGAGGAACACCGGUGUCGAAGGCGACGUCCUGGACCGGCAUUGACGCUGAGGCGCGGAAGCCAGGGGAGCAAACGGG
RNAcentral lists this ribosomal RNA (253 nucleotides) under uncultured bacterium. RNAcentral describes it as "partial 16S ribosomal RNA". It matches the Rfam family "Bacterial small subunit ribosomal RNA", at positions 524 to 776 of the family's 1533-position model. The record is from RNAcentral.